Molecule: ribosomal RNA, 344 nt
Filed under: Vishniacozyma heimaeyensis
Lineage: Eukaryota; Fungi; Basidiomycota; Tremellomycetes; Tremellales; Bulleribasidiaceae
Description: eukaryotic LSU rRNA
Rfam family: Eukaryotic large subunit ribosomal RNA
Source: RNAcentral
AGACCGAUAGCGAACAAGUACCGUGAGGGAAAGAUGAAAAGCACUUUGGAAAGAGAGUUAAACAGCACGUGAAAUUGUUAAAAGGGAAACGAUUGAAGUCAGUCGUGUGAAAGGUAUUCAGCCGUCUCUGGCGGUGUAUUUGCCUUUCACGGGUCAACAUCAGUUUGAUCCGGCAGAAAAAGGCGGGAGGAAGGUGGCACCCUCGGGUGUGUUAUAGCCUCCUGUCACAUGUGUCGGACCAGACUGAGGAACGCAGCUCGCAGCAAUGCCGGGGUUCGCCCACGUACGAGCUUAGGAUGUUGACAUAAUGGCUUUAAACGACCCGUCUUGAAACACGGACCAAG